CUACGGGUCGCAGCAGUGAGGAAUAUUGCACAAUGGGGGGAACCCUGAUGCAGCAACGCCGCGUGGAGGAUGACACUUUUCGGAGCGUAAACUCCUUUUAUAUAGGAAGAAGAUGACGGUACUAUAUGAAUAAGCGCCGGCUAACUCCGUGCCAGCAGCCGCGGUAAUACGGAGGGCGCAAGCGUUACUCGGAAUCACUGGCGUAAAGAGCGUGUAGGCGGAUUAAAAAGUCAGAAGUGAAAUCCUAUAGCUUAACUAUAGAACUGCUUCUGAAACUCUUAAUCUAGAAUAUGGGAGAGGUAGAUGGAAUUUCUGGUGUAGGGGUAAAAUCCGUAGAGAUCAGAAGGAAUACCGAUUGCGAAGGCGAUCUACUAGAACAUUAUUGACGCUGAGACGCGAAAGCGUGGGGAGCAAACAGGAUUAGAUACCCGGGUAGUC
This 438-nucleotide ribosomal RNA is filed under the name uncultured bacterium. RNAcentral's name for it is "partial 16S ribosomal RNA". It matches the Rfam family "Bacterial small subunit ribosomal RNA", at positions 339 to 795 of the family's 1533-position model. The record is from RNAcentral.